AAAAUAAAGUAAAAUAAAAAGAAAAAUAAAAAAUAUACUAUUUCGUUUUACUAUUUGCACCCCCAAAUUCACUUUUCAACCCCUAGCCCAAUAACAAAAAUAAUCACACAUUUUUUUACUUCCUCACCACCAAUUUUCUUCUCACACCCUACUCUCCACAUCACCCUCCACAUCAUCUUCCACAUCAUAUACUUUUUCCACAUCAUUUUCAUAUUAAUUUUUAUAUACCAACUUUUCUAAUAAUUCCACUUACCUUUUUUUUAAUCAUAAAUCUUCUCCACCAACUUUUUAUAUUAUUUAUUUCACAUUAACUUUACUAUUUACUAUAUUUUAUUCCACCUACUUUCUCCACUAAAUUUUUAUAUUAUUUCUUUCACUUAUUUUCUACAUUAACUUUU
RNAcentral lists this long non-coding RNA (398 nucleotides) under Vigna radiata. RNAcentral describes it as "long non-coding RNA (VRAD_LNC015745)". The record is from RNAcentral. Lineage: Eukaryota; Viridiplantae; Streptophyta; Magnoliopsida; Fabales; Fabaceae.